GUCUGGAGUUUUGAUCUCCUCCAUACCCGCUUCACACCCUGGAGGACGGGGCUAUGGCCCCCCCACACUCCCUAGCAGAUCAUUACAUGGAGAAACCUUUGGAAUGCAAGCAUGCUGAUCCACACAGGUAUGCACACAUGGGUAUUCACAGACGCGGACUAAAGCUUUCUUGGCUGCUGCCUCAAAGUACACUGUGCGCUGUCUAUCUUGCGUGCUGCACAAUAUCGUUUAUUACUUAGUAAAUACUGAUAUCUAUGACUAGCUAGUUUAUUGUGAUGGUGCUUUGUUUUCUCUAUUAUUAUGUUGCUCUUUGUUGUUUGCUGUCUCCUCUGUUUGUUUUUGUUUGUUUGUUUGGUUUUUUUUUUUCUCCAUACAGGUGACCCAGGAGUUUUUUUUUUUGUUUUUUUUUUUGUCUCUCUUCCCCCCCCUUCUCACCGUCUCUUCUCCCCUUUGGUUUUCUUUCUUUCUCUCCCCCUCUCUCUCUCAUUCAUUCCCCCUGUCCUAUUUAUUAAAAAAAAAAAAAAAUGACAAAGGAUGAACUGAAGCUCUGCCAUCACGUAAUGUCGCAUACUGCUGUUUCUGAUGUCAUUUAGAAAAAAAAAAAAAAAAAAAAAAAAAAAAAAAAGAAAAAAAAAAACCUGCCGAACAAUGAGGCUGCUGUUGUAAAAACGCCAACUUUCUUGCGUUGGCAAGGGGUCGUUGAAAUAUCACUAAGACCCUUUCUUUGUGUGAUUCUUCGUAAAACUGUUUUAAUCGGUUAAAACUGUAAAACUGACGACAUAAUCUAUGUUUGAAAAAGAGCGCGAACAACUAUUCACCACCUGGGUCUGUGCUUUUAACACAACAGCGCAUUCGAAAACAAGUUAUUGGCUGCAACAUAUUAAUAUACUUGCUUUUUUACGGAAAAAAAAUAAACAUAACGAAGGUUCCGUUUUACUUACAAGUUUCUCCAAAUGUGUUCUCCAGUCGCUCGAGAAGGGCAGCCAUAUUGAACAGAAUUUUCUGUCAACGUCGUUCAGGUUAGAGAGAAAAGGUCAUGACGUCAUGACAUGCGGAGCUCGGAAAAAAAACAUUUACUCAAAAAUCAUAAUUAAGAAAGCAGUAUUUACUCUUAACUUCUAAGCCAUGUAUAAUUAUAACUGUUUGAAUCGUUAACCGAACAGAAAAGUUUUAAGUUGUUUUAACUAUGUGAGGAGUUUCAAUUGUUAUAUCCAGAAACUUUAUAAGUCAGGUAGACUGUUGGGGUUUACAGUGCAUGUGUGUCCGAGUCUUCUAUCAAAAGUUACAGCUAUUUAUAUGAAGUUGUACAAAAACGCUUUCUUUCGCCAAGACAGUGCGUUUCUCACUGUUACAUGCAUUUGAAUGGGGAACUCGCCC
Molecule: long non-coding RNA, 1377 nt
Organism: Astatotilapia calliptera (eastern happy)
Lineage: Eukaryota; Metazoa; Chordata; Actinopteri; Cichliformes; Cichlidae
Source: Ensembl